Molecule: non-coding RNA, 71 nt
Organism: Pangasius djambal
Lineage: Eukaryota; Metazoa; Chordata; Actinopteri; Siluriformes; Pangasiidae
Source: the annotation of a GenBank genome assembly
ACUCGUGGCUUAAUGGUUAGCGAGUCCGACUUGUAACCCGAAGGUCACGGGUUCGAGUCUCGGGUCCAGCA